RNAcentral lists this ribosomal RNA (359 nucleotides) under uncultured bacterium. Its description in RNAcentral is "partial 16S ribosomal RNA". It matches the Rfam family "Bacterial small subunit ribosomal RNA", at positions 338 to 694 of the family's 1533-position model. The record is from RNAcentral.
CCUACGGGAGGCAGCAGUGAGUAAUAUUGGUCAAUGGACGAGACUCUGAUCCAGCCAAGUAGCGUGAAUGAUGACUGCUCUAUGUGCUUACAACUUUUUCUAUAAAAGAAUAAAACGAGGCACGUGUGCCUUUUUGCAUGUACUUUAUGAAUAAGGAUCGGCUAACGCCGUGCCAGCAGCCGCGGUAAUACGGAGGGUCCGAGUGUUAUCCGGAUUUAUUGGGUGUAAAGGGAGCGUAGAUGGGUUGUUAAGUCAGUUGUGAAAGUUUGCGGCUCAACCGUAAAAUUGCAAUUGAGACGUGCAGGCUUGAGUACAGUUGAGGUAGGCGGAAUUCGUGGUGUAGCGGUGAAAUGCUUAGA